AGAGUUUGAUCCUGGCUCAGGAUGAACGCUGGCGGCGUGCCUAAUACAUGCAAGUCGAACGAGGUGCUUUUGUAGCAAUACGAGAGUAUCCUAGUGGCGAACGGGUGAGUAACGCGUUGGUGACCUACCCCAAAGUGUGGGAUAACAGUCCGAAAGGAUUGCUAAUACCGCAUGUGGUCAUUGGAUUUAGAAACUGAUGACUAAAGGAGCAAUUCGCUUUGGGAGGGACCUGCGUCCCAUCAGCUAGUUGGUGAGGUAACGGCUCACCAAGGCGACGACGGGUAGGGGACCUGAGAGGGUGGCCCCCCACAAUGGAACUGAAACACGGUCCAUACACCUACGGGUGGCAGCAGUAGGGAAUAUUGCACAAUGGGCGAAAGCCUGAUGCAGCAACGCCGCGUGUGUGAUGAAGGCCUUCGGGUCGUAAAGCACUUUUCUGGGAGAUGAGAAAGGACAGUAUCCCAGGAAUAAGUCUCGGCUAACUACGUGCCAGCCGCCGCGGUAAUAC
RNAcentral lists this ribosomal RNA (508 nucleotides) under uncultured bacterium. Its description in RNAcentral is "bacterial SSU rRNA". It matches the Rfam family "Bacterial small subunit ribosomal RNA", at positions 8 to 526 of the family's 1533-position model. The record is from RNAcentral.